Long non-coding RNA from Drosophila kikkawai, 582 nucleotides. RefSeq lists it as uncharacterized. The record is from RefSeq and is a predicted model, not a curated record. Lineage: Eukaryota; Metazoa; Arthropoda; Insecta; Diptera; Drosophilidae.
UGGUUCAAUAACAGUAAAGCUACUGUCAAUGUAUUUUGUUGUUGGAUUUGGUGACUGCACGACAGUUUAUAUGACAGUCAAUUACAGUCACCCUUACGUACGAGAUUCUGUGUGUUUUUUGUUGUUGGCUUUGCGAACUGUCGUAACUGUCAGCUGCAGUCAAAAUACUGUAGGUUUAACGUAAAAAGUUUUAUGUGUUUCUUUAUCUUGUUUGGUAUCGUGUAUGUAUUUUUGCAUUCCCAAGUAUAUAGCAAGCGUUUCUUGAAAAAACGAUUUCGGGCACACUUAAAAAGCGGCGUCGGUUUCGAGAAGUUGUGCAGCGAAAAAGUGAAGUGAAAAAGUUAAAAGUAAAAGUUAUGAGUGAUAUUGACGAAGUGGCUGCCUUGGAGGAGUGGGACUUCAGAGACCUAUUGCCCACAUUUCUCGGUGAGAGUAUUCACAUGUAACUAUAAAACAUAACUAUGUAAAUGGUAUCAACAAAAUAAAAGCUAUAGUCGAGACAAAAGUACCAGUUCGGAUGUGAAAUAUGGACAAAUAUAUAUUUGAAAUAUAUAUAUAUAAGUCCAUAAUAUUAUUAAUUAA